CCUACGGGUGGCAGCAGUGGGGAAUAUUGGACAAUGGGGGAAACCCUGAUCCAGCGACGCCGCGUGAGUGAAGAAGUAUUUCGGUACGUAAAGCUCUAUCAGCAGGAAAGAAAAUGACGGUACCUGACUAAGAAGCCCCGGCUAACUACGUGCCAGCAGCCGCGGUAAUACGUAGGGGGCAAGCGUUAUCCGGAUUUACUGGGUGUAAAGGGAGCGUAGACGGCAGCGCAAGUCUGGAGUGAAAUGCCGGGGCUCAACCCCGGAACUGCUCUGGAGACUGUGAAGCUGGAGUGCAGGAGAGGUAAGCGGAAUUCCUGGUGUAGCGGUGAAAUGCGUAGAUAUCAGGAGGAACACCGGCGGCGAAGGCGGCUUACUGGACUGUAACUGACGUUGAGGCUCGAAGGCGUGGGGAGCAAACAGGAUUAGAUACCCGGGUAGUC
Molecule: ribosomal RNA, 440 nt
Filed under: uncultured bacterium
Lineage: Bacteria
Description: partial 16S ribosomal RNA
Rfam family: Bacterial small subunit ribosomal RNA
Source: RNAcentral